Molecule: ribosomal RNA, 467 nt
Filed under: uncultured bacterium
Lineage: Bacteria
Description: partial 16S ribosomal RNA
Rfam family: Bacterial small subunit ribosomal RNA
Source: RNAcentral
GACGAACGCUGGCGGCGUGCUUAACACAUGCAAGUCGAACGGAAAGGCUUCUUUCGGGGGGUACUCGAGUGGCGAACGGGUGAGUAACACGUGAGUAACCUGCCCUUGACUUUGGGAUAACUUCAGGAAACUGGGGCUAAUACCGGAUAGGAGCUCCUGCUGCAUGGUGGGGGUUGGAAAGUUUCGGCGGUUGGGGGUGGACUCGCGGCUUAUCAGCUUGUUGGUGGGGUAGUGGCUUACCAAGGCUUUGACGGGUAGCCGGCCUGAGAGGGUGACCGGCCACAUUGGGACUGAGAUACGGCCCAGACUCCUACGGGAGGCAGCAGUGGGGAAUAUUGCACAAUGGGUGGAAGCCUGAUGCAGCAACGCCGUGUGCGGGAUGACGGCCUUCGGGUUGUAAACCGCUUUCGCUCAUGACGAAGCUUUGUGUGACGGUAGUAGGUAAAGAAGCACCGGCUAACUACGUG